GCUGCCCCAACCAGUAGGCAGUGCGAGGGGCGCGUGAGAUGCACUCGAGCCAUGCUGGCACCUCGGCCCAUCGCAUGGGUGGCGCAAGCGUGCUCUCUGUCGCCGGUCGCUCCGACGCAUCCCCGUCCAGGACCUGACCACCGACAUCCGCAGUGAUACGUCGCACCCACCUGCCUAGGCGGCAGGCGCUUCACCCUGUCAUCACCAGCGGUGGGCUCGGCAUUUCGCAGGCACAGGAAGGGAGGGCUGCUUGGCUUCCCCGCCCCCACUCCCUCCCCCGCGCCGACAGAGCGAGUAGGGGUGUACUGAGCACCGAGAUACCACGCACUGAGGCCUUCCUCCUGUCAUCGUGAGAAUAAAGAGGGAAUGAAAUAGAAACACACAAAUGAAGGUAAUGAGUUUAACGGAGGUAAAGAGGACCUUCACUUUUCAGGAUGUGGGCAGGCGCAUUUCGGUGUUGCGCUAAUGCAACGGGGCUCAGGACCCACAUCAAAACAUUUUCUCUGCUUUUUUUUACUUUCCCGGAAAGCUCGUCGCCCUCUAUAUCGAGCUUCUUCGGAAAACACCACAAAACCCGCACAUACACUGAGAAAGUGAAAUGCCUUUUCCCCUCUCUUCUGUGGCAAAAAAAAGACUCCUUUUUACUUCUCAUACUGAUCUUUUAUAAUCUCGAUCUCGCCAUUCCACAUGCUAG
Molecule: unclassified non-coding RNA, 694 nt
Filed under: Leishmania donovani
Lineage: Eukaryota; Euglenozoa; Kinetoplastea; Trypanosomatida; Trypanosomatidae
Description: gene:unknown
Source: RNAcentral